AGAGUUUGAUCAUGGCUCAGAAUCAACGCUGGCGGCGUGCCUAACACAUGCAAGUCGCACGAGAAAGUGGAGCAAUCCAUGAGUAAAGUGGCGCACGGGUGAGUAACACGUGAAUUAUCUACCUCCGAGUGGGGAAUAACUGAGAGAAAUCUUAGCUAAUACCGCAUAACACUUACGAGUCAAAGCAGCAAUGCGCUUGGAGAGGAGUUCGCGGCCGAUUAGUUAGUUGGCGGGGUAAUGGCCCACCAAGACGAUGAUCGGUAUCCGGCCUGAGAGGGCGCACGGACACACUGGAACUGAAACACGGUCCAGACUCCUACGGGAGGCAGCAGUGGGGAAUUUUGCGCAAUGGGGGAAACCCUGACGCAGCAACGCCGCGUGGAGGAUGAAAUAUCUUGGUAUGUAAACUCCUUUCGAUGGGGAAGAUUAUGACGGUACCCAUAGAAGAAGCCCCGGCUAACUUCGUGCCAGCAGCCGCGGUAAUACGAGGGGGGCAAGCGUUGUUCGGAUUUAUUGGGCGUAAAGGGUGCGUAGGCGGUUUGGCAAGUCUGAUGUGAAAUCUAUGGGCUCAACCCAUAGUCUGCAUCAGAAACUGCCGGGCUUGAGUAUGGGAGAGGUGAGUGGAAUUUCCGGUGUAGCGGUGAAAUGCGUAGAUAUCGGAAGGAACACCUGUGGCGAAAGCGGCUCACUGGACCAUAACUGACGCUGAUGCACGAAAGCUAGGGGAGCAAACAGGAUUAGAUACCCUGGUAGUCC
RNAcentral lists this ribosomal RNA (756 nucleotides) under uncultured bacterium. Its description in RNAcentral is "bacterial SSU rRNA". It matches the Rfam family "Bacterial small subunit ribosomal RNA", at positions 8 to 796 of the family's 1533-position model. The record is from RNAcentral.